Molecule: ribosomal RNA, 253 nt
Filed under: uncultured bacterium
Lineage: Bacteria
Description: partial 16S ribosomal RNA
Rfam family: Bacterial small subunit ribosomal RNA
Source: RNAcentral
UACGAAGGGGGCUAGCGUUGCUCGGAAUCACUGGGCGUAAAGGGUGCGUAGGCGGGUCUUUAAGCCAGGGGUGAAAUCCUGGAGCUCAACUCCAGAACUGCCUUUGAUACUGAGGAUCUUGAGUACGGGAGAGGUGAGUGGAACUGCGAGUGUAGAGGUGAAAUUCGUAGAUAUUCGCAAGAACACCAGUGGCGAAGGCGGCUCACUGGCCCGUAACUGACGCUGAGGCACGAAAGCGUGGGGAGCAAACAGG